Molecule: transfer RNA, 73 nt
Organism: Camelus ferus (Wild Bactrian camel)
Lineage: Eukaryota; Metazoa; Chordata; Mammalia; Artiodactyla; Camelidae
Rfam family: tRNA
About the family: Transfer RNA (tRNA) molecules are approximately 80 nucleotides in length. Their secondary structure includes four short double-helical elements and three loops (D, anti-codon, and T loops).
Source: Rfam
GAGGGUAUGGCUCAAGCGGUAGAGCACAUGGUUAGCAUGCACAAGGUCCUGGGUUCAAUCCCCAGUAUCUCCA